RNAcentral lists this ribosomal RNA (465 nucleotides) under uncultured bacterium. RNAcentral describes it as "partial 16S ribosomal RNA". It matches the Rfam family "Bacterial small subunit ribosomal RNA", at positions 28 to 507 of the family's 1533-position model. The record is from RNAcentral.
GACGAACGCUGGCGGCGUGCUUAACACAUGCAAGUCGAACGGAAAGGCCCUGCUUGCAGGGUACUCGAGUGGCGAACGGGUGAGUAACACGUGGGUGAUCUGCCCUGCACUUCGGGAUAAGCCUGGGAAACUGGGUCUAAUACCGGAUAGGAGCCAUUUUUAGUGUGAUGGUUGGAAAGUUUUUUCGGUGUAGGAUGAGCUCGCGGCCUAUCAGCUUGUUGGUGGGGUAAUGGCCUACCAAGGCGGCGACGGGUAGCCGGCCUGAGAGGGUGGACGGCCACAUUGGGACUGAGAUACGGCCCAGACUCCUACGGGAGGCAGCAGUGGGGAAUAUUGCACAAUGGGCGCAAGCCUGAUGCGGCGACGCCGCGUGGGGGAUGACGGCCUUCGGGUUGUAAACUCCUUUCGCUAGGGACGAAGCUUUUUGUGACGGUACCUAGAUAAGAAGCACCGGCUAACUACGUG